This 72-nucleotide transfer RNA is filed under the name Camelus bactrianus (Bactrian camel). It matches the Rfam family "tRNA". From Rfam's summary of the family: Transfer RNA (tRNA) molecules are approximately 80 nucleotides in length. Their secondary structure includes four short double-helical elements and three loops (D, anti-codon, and T loops). The record is from Rfam by way of RNAcentral. Lineage: Eukaryota; Metazoa; Chordata; Mammalia; Artiodactyla; Camelidae. RNAcentral also lists the same sequence under 2 other names.
GAGGGUGUAGCUCAGUGGUAGAGUGCACGCUUAGCACACACAAGGUCCUGGGUUCAACCCUCAGCACCUCUA